This 224-nucleotide unclassified non-coding RNA is filed under the name Hevea brasiliensis (rubber tree). Lineage: Eukaryota; Viridiplantae; Streptophyta; Magnoliopsida; Malpighiales; Euphorbiaceae. The record is from RNAcentral.
ACUUCUGAAAGUGACCUGCCAGCGCCCCCAAGAAAGGGAGCGUGAUAUUCUUGAGACUGUGAAGCAUAAUGCCUAUGCUGAGGACAAAUAUGCGAAGGAGUUUGGCAUUAAGAUUAGCGACAAGUUGGCACAAGUUGAGGCUCGUAUUUUGCCUCCACCUUGGCUUAAAUAUCACGAUAAUGGCCGAGAAAAAGAUUGUCUGCCACAAGUUGGCCAAUGGAACA